Molecule: ribosomal RNA, 253 nt
Filed under: uncultured bacterium
Lineage: Bacteria
Description: partial 16S ribosomal RNA
Rfam family: Bacterial small subunit ribosomal RNA
Source: RNAcentral
UACGAAGGGGGCUAGCGUUGCUCGGAUUUACUGGGCGUAAAGCGCACGUAGGCGGACUCUUAAGUCGGUGGUGAAAUCCUGGAGCUCAACUCCAGAACUGCCUUCGAUACUGAGAGUCUCGAGUCCGAGAGAGGUGAGUGGAACUGCGAGUGUAGAGGUGAAAUUCGUAGAUAUUCGCAAGAACACCAGUGGCGAAGGCGGCUCACUGGCUCGGUACUGACGCUGAGGUGCGAAAGCGUGGGGAGCAAACAGG